Molecule: ribosomal RNA, 486 nt
Filed under: bacterium enrichment culture clone ALO1_GLFRUDD03GM1B2
Lineage: Bacteria
Description: bacterial SSU rRNA
Rfam family: Bacterial small subunit ribosomal RNA
Source: RNAcentral
GAGUUUGAUCAUGGCUCAGAUUGAACGCUGGCGGCAGGCCUAACACAUGCAAGUCGAGCGGAUGACGGGAGCUUGCUCCUUGAUUCAGCGGCGGACGGGUGAGUAAUGCCUAGGAAUCUGCCUGGUAGUGGGGGACAACGUUUCGAAAGGAACGCUAAUACCGCAUACGUCCUACGGGAGAAAGCAGGGGACCUUCGGGCCUUGCGCUAUCAGAUGAGCCUAGGUCGGAUUAGCUAGUUGGUGGGGUAAUGGCUCACCAAGGCGACGAUCCGUAACUGGUCUGAGAGGAUGAUCAGUCACACUGGAACUGAGACACGGUCCAGACUCCUACGGGAGGCAGCAGUGGGGAAUAUUGGACAAUGGGCGAAAGCCUGAUCCAGCCAUGCCGCGUGUGUGAAGAAGGUCUUCGGAUUGUAAAGCACUUUAAGUUGGGAGGAAGGGCAGUAAGUUAAUACCUUGCUGUUUGACGUUACCGACAGAAUAAGC